AUUUAAAUAGCCAAGGGAUCAAUGUAAUGUACCUUACUUGACUGUGCACCCAAAUGAAUGCGGAUUCUAGAUGAUUUAGCUCCAUGAUAGUCUGAAAUGAACUACAUUAUGACAUGAGAAUGGUACUGCCGCUACCAUAUUCUGACUUCAAAAACCAACCUUUUUUUCCUUUACAGAGUAAAGUUCUACACCCAGGAAAUCGUAUUUUUCCGUUAGGAUCUGCUCUACAGAAUGACACGGUCUUCUCUAAUUCCUCCCUCAACUGAAGAAACAAGUGAUCCUUUUGAACAUCUUGUAGCAACCAUCACUCAUCAGAGUCAUCUUUGCCCCUUGCCUCUCACUGUACAACCAAUAAUAUGGAACUAUGACCACUGCCUCCGUCUAUAUCCUACUCCACACACGGUAUCAAAUCUCUUUAUCAGAUAGUGUUGGGAGAUCAAAGUGAACAAAAAGCCUUUAAAUAUACGGGAAUAACAUGUUUCAAUCCUGGAUCAUUCGCUCAUGAUAGCACAUUUGCAGUCUAUCGUCCUUGUUCUGAAGAAGUCAAGCUUUCUGCUGUGGAGGAGAAUGACUAAAGUUGCAAUAUUAUGGUCAUUAUUGAUUAUAGCAUCUCAUAACUCGAUUCUUAAUGAGGGAUUCAUGGGGAAAUUCAGAAGUAGUACUAGCUAAUCAUAUGAUAGAGGAUGAUUAUUGUGUCAAUUGCAUCAUUUGUGUAACUUGACAUACUUACCACUGCAUUUCUAAAGAGAAUAUCUACGAACCGUUCUUUUCUAAUUCCGGUACUUGUGCUUGCAAAGAUGUAUGAUUAAUCCAUACUUAGACUU
Molecule: RNA transcript, 824 nt
Organism: Asparagus officinalis (garden asparagus)
Lineage: Eukaryota; Viridiplantae; Streptophyta; Magnoliopsida; Asparagales; Asparagaceae
Gene name: DNA polymerase epsilon subunit B-like
Exons: 3
Source: RefSeq, a predicted model, not a curated record